GCCAUGAGCGUAGUGAAGGAGGCUGGAAGAAUGAGUCUUCUCGUAGUGGAGCUUGUACUUGCCUUCAGGCGUCUUGAAAUAAGUCUUAAUCCCCGGCGACUGAGGAUUCGCGGCAGGUGAAGAGGAGGAAGGUGGCGCUGAUACCAUUCCGUUAGAAGUGUUCAUCAUCUUUCUACUUCUUCUUAUUCUCUAAUCGUCUAUCCAAUAGCAUCUGAUCAGAAAAAGAAAAACAAAUCCCUUGUUUCUUUCUCUCUUCGUCGUCGGGAUAGUGGAAGAAUCAAAAACUUGUAUCCGUUUUAUCGAAUCAACUGCUUAUUACCGAAUCAAACUUUUAUUAUCAAAGCUUUUGACUCUCAAAGCAAUUAAAAACUCUGGAGAUGAGAUGAUUGAUCCGACUUCAUGGACUACUUUAGGCCCAGUUAAAGCCCUUAUACUGAUAAAACUGAGGCCUGAAAUUUAUUAUUUUUAAUUGUGGUUCGGUUUGGAUGGGUGAUCAAUCUGUUUUUUUUUUUUUGUUGUUGACUUGGUUCCAGUUUCGUUUGGUAACUUUGGUUGCAUGAGGUUUGGGUUCAGUUUCGGUUUGAAUUAAGCUCACGUUCUAUUCAGUUUAAGGUUCUGAAAAUAGGGUUCGGUUUGACCGGUAUUAAAAAUGUUUCUAUCGUUCAGAUUACAGUAACGUUUUAUACUGUUUCAAUUUAUGAGAUUUUCACUUUUAUUUGAUUCAUGUCGUUUUUUUUACCUAAUCAAUGGGAUGAAAAUUGUACAACUUUAUUAAAAAAAAAGAGUAAUUAAAUUCCUGAUACCCAAAAAGUUUUUGAUUCUUUUUUUUCGUGCAUGCUUUAGCUUCAAUCAGAAUACUCAGUUCUCUCCUUUAGCUAUGUCCUCUCUCCUCAAUCCGAUACAGAGGAAGGGUGAGAUGAACUUCAGUCAGAGUUUCUAUAACUCCGUGUUAUAAGUUUGAUUUCUGGGAGUCGGUGAUUUCUCUACACCGUCGUCGCCAGCUUUGGGUUCCGAGGAUCGGUGGCUCUGCCAGCAUCGGUUCGUCGGCUUUCGUCUCCGGGAAACAGUGACUCUGACAGCAUCGUUUUUUUCGCCGGCUUUUACCGGAUUCCGAUCUAUGCUUUUGUUCUCUCUUUGCUCAAUCGACUCUCGAUUCAAGACUCGAUGUUGGUUGUUCUUGGAUCGAUCGUAGACGAUUGUGUUUUCUUCAAUCUGUGUAAUAAUUGUUGUCUCAUUGAUAUUGAUUAUGUAGGGUUGAACUGUAAGACUGUACCGUUGGUUAUUGGGAAGGAGAUUAAAAUAUCUAAUGUGAUAAAUUUUCCCUUUUUCGAACCGUUGGUACAUUUUGUCCGACGUAGACAUAGGCACCCUCCCUUCCAUUUUCUGUUCCUGUUGAGUGGUUUAAAGCAAUCAUUUCAUAUGUAGUUGGAAAGAAUAAAAACAUAGUAUUUUUUAGACAAACCUGGAUGUCAAGACAAAUGAAAGUUGUUCAUAAGAAAGCAUUUUUGUUUUUGUGAUUUGUGAUGAGCCACAUCCUAAUGGUCCUAGCGAUUAUUGGUUGUGGUCCGAGGUUGUUGUUCUUGUUAUUGUGAUCUUCGGCUGCAUGAUUUGCACAGAUAACAGUGUGAUUUAUUUUUUAUUGACCUUUUUUUUUAAUUUUUUGAAGUGAACAUAGUUAUAAUUUGUUUGUUUUUAAAAAAAAUUGGAUUUCUUUCAUUUAAUUUAAUAUAAUUAAAGAAUAUGUAUUUGGAGUGACCAAAAUUUAAUUUAAUUUUUAUUUUGAAGUGAAGAUAGUUUGUUUGUUUGUUUUUUAUUGCCCAUCAAAAGGACGUAGCAUGAGUAUUUGGAAGUGUUAAUUUUUAAUUAUUUUGUUGGAUUUAAAUAUAAUAAAAAGGAACUCUAAGAAGUAAUGUCAACAUUAUGUCAAAUCAGUUAUUUAGUAUACAUUAUAUUUUAUUAUUGGUUGAAUAAUAAAUAUUAAUGAUGUUUUAUUUUAAAAAUGUAUAAUAUAAAUAUGUUGUUGUAAAAUUAAUACGGUUCAUAAUUUGUAUUUUUAAAUACAAAAAAUCACUACUAUCUGAAAGAAAAUCUACCUUAGAUUUAAGUAUUAAAUUAAUAUAUCAAUACUAAUAAUUUUUUGAUUCAAAAAGGAACUUGUAAAUAUAAAAUACCUCCUAGAAGGGGAGGAUCUCUGGAUGUUGAUUUGUCCAUAGUGUUGAGAUCAGCACUUCUUUAAACAAAAUGAAGAAUAUUAAAAUGAUUGUUCAGAUCGACCACCAAAAAAAAAGGUUACCUAAUUGGCUUUUGCGACGAAGGGGGUAGAGCUGGUUGAUCGUAGACGAUUUCUUACCAAAUGACGUUAGGAGGUUUUCUCGUGGGAUUUUGUAUCUACGUGCAGAUGUUGAUAACUUAAACGGAAUACCAAUGCUAUAGACUAAUCGUUUGAAUAGCUUACACUGAUUAGGUUGAAUAACUUAGACUGAUUUUCUGCAGAGGGAGAGACGACGGAUAAAUGUUAUGGUGAGCGUAGAGUCAAAGCUUGAAUAUAUAUUUUGAUUAACAUUAUGGUUUUGUUUCCAUAUCUUUUGUUUUUUGUAUUAAUGGCAGAAUAUAUGUUAUUUACUUCUUAGUGAAUGCAAGAAGAUUUUUUGCUAGAAGAAUAUUACUAUGGGGCCAGUUAAACUUGGUGAAAUCGUUUUUGAUUUAGACGUGUAUAGCUAGAAGUCUAUCUAAUAAUUAACAGCUCAACAAAAAUCAAUUCAUGCAUGCAUUUGUUUUAUUAUAAGGCAACUCGUAAAGGACGUAUUCCUUAUUGUUUGCAUGCAUUGCAAUUUGUUUACGUGUUCUUAGUGAAUAAUUAACAGGUACACAUAAUUAAUGGACUGGGCUGCGAGAUUGUUCUUUUAAUUCGAAGCCCACUCGCUGUAACCAAACCAAACUAAAGCAAUUUUAAUUCGAACCUCAUUCUUUUAAUUCGAAGCUCACUUGUUGUAGCCAAUUUUGUAACCAAAGCAACUUUAAUUUGAACCCCACUCACUGUAGCCAAUUUUGUAAUCAAAACCAAGUCCAAAUCUUUUAUUGCAAUUUUAAUUGGAAGCCCAAUCCACCAGUGACAUGGUAGUAUGAUUGGUGGGGAUUAUUUUGCCCAUGUGGCAUCCCUUAUAAGCUCUCAAUUUAGCUUCUUUUAUAUAGUAGGAUACUUCCAUUAGUCUCGAGUUUAUUCUUCUCUAAUUUAUUAUUUUAAAAAUCACGAAAGUAGCGGGUUAAAUCUAAAUAAACCAAUUCGAUUCGGAACCUAAUCGAUCAAACCGAUCCGGGUGGACCAAGCAUACAGUUUUUCACAUGCAUGUCUUAAUAAUAAUUAGGGUGGCUUAUUUAAUAGGUGUGGCUUAUAGUUCGGAGAGUGAAUCCAAUCCACCGACACUCGAGAUAUCGACGUUAUACGAUUCUGUGAAUUGGGAGCAAUAGUUAUCGGCCAAGAAUCGAAAAAGAAUAUUUCUUGCAAUUAUUGUAUUUUGUUACAGCUGUCUUGAAUCUUGAGUGGUAGUGUGGUACCUAGACAUCACAAGCUUAAGCUAAAGCUGAAUAGAGAGAGCAACAGCAACAACAAAAAACAUUAUUGCAUUUGCAACUAAUCUCGGGUGAUCCUUUUAGAAUCUAUAAGUAAACUCAUUUUAACCGGAAGAGAGCAAUAAUACCCCUAUUAUGGCAACUAAUUCUUGACUGAUCUUAAAAUCUUUAAUAAGAACACCCAUUUUAACCACACACGUGUGUGGAGUAAUAAGGUUUUCAAACACCUUUACACAUCUAUACAUAGUUACUGACACUCCUCUCAGAGAUGAGACUAGGAUCCGACAAAAAUAAUAGAUGAUGUCUUAUGGUAUUAUCAAACAAGUACUCGUGUCAAUUAUGUUGUCACAUCAAUAUGAUCAAGAAAGGGGUGUGUAUGAUUAAGGGAAGAGACAAAGCAAUGAAUAUUCCAAAAAUCGGUGGGUAAGUGAGUCUUCCCUAGACUUAUCUCUUGUCGGUCGUGUCACUGGUUCUCUUUUUCCUUUUCCACGAUUGUGGUUAAUACUGAACUCCAAUCCCGUUUACUCGAAUUGUUGAAAAGGUCUCGUGUCAAGAGGCAAGGUGAAGAAUAAAUAAAACAUAUAUAAGAAAAUAAUGAUAGAAUUGAAGUUUUUUUUCCUACAAUAGCUAGGAAAUAUGAAGUAGAAAUGACUUCAGUAAUUAAUGACUUCAGUAGUUAAUAAUUUAUAGAAACAAAACAAAGGCCACAAAUUUUUUGGAUGCAUGAACACUAUAUCUGCAGAGGCAUCGUUUAGUGUCUGUCUGCAAAGUGAAAACUGCAGGAAAAUAAAGAGUGUCUUCAUCUGAAGCACCAAAGUGUUUCAUUAUUAGCUUAUGAAAGUCUUUUUGGGCAUAAACUCUUUAAAAACCAAACACUUUCUUAUAAUUACAUCAGAAAAUUCUCUUUAGUCUCUCACCCAAUCUUCUUCUCUAUCGUCCACAAGUUUGUCAGAGCCUCCAAUAUACAGUCAGAUUUCAGAUUUUGAUCUCUCUAAGAAAAAACACCCAGCAGAGAUUUUUAUUCACAUGGCUUUUCUUUCCACUUUAGAUUGGAGAGAACAUGACUAUAUAAUAGGACCUGAUUUUCAGACGGUAUGAUCUCUGUUAUGACUUUAAACUAGAACCACCGAUCUUACUGCUCAGUGAACCUUUGUUGUCUUUGGGGAAGCUUGUGCUCAAGAGAGCUAUUGCAGGAUUUGCUUCUGAGCUGUUGGAUUGGGUUUCUGAGACACUAGGCCGUGUCCAGAUCUUUAUAUGGCCUUCUCGACAAGCUGUUACCACUGAUUCUUGUGUGAACAUCAAGCCGGAGAGGGGCUCGGUGUGAACACGGUGAGCUAUGACCGGCGAGAGCUUUGGAACAUCACGCUUGCAAGGAGCGGGUUGAAGAGUUCCCAUUGGUAUGACAUUGUCCCAGUGAGCCGAUUGGCUUCCCGUGCUGUAAGUGGGAGAUUCUCCUGGAGGUCGCCUAAGUGGUACCACGAUCUCGUCCAUUUCCAGGUCCCAGAGAAGUAUUUGUGUGUCCUGCGGAUUCAGCAGAGGAAAGCAUCAACGUGAGAGAUAGCAGUGACUUUGGAAAACAUAUACUAUCCAAUAUUUUCACACAUUAAGAAAACAUAUUAAAUCACUACAAUAAAUGUAUAGUUUUCUUUAAUUUUCAGUGUUAAUAGCUUUUCAAUAUAGGCAAUUAAUUUUCUUGAAAUUUACUAUUUUUUCAUAAAAAUACACAAAAAUCUAUCUUUGUGAAUUUUUUUUCUCUAUAAUAUCUAUCUCAUGGAGAGGAGGGAGUAUAUGCAAAGGAGCACCUGACCAACUGAUCCAAACCGGUACAUGAUAUGCUCUCCUGACCCAUCUGUAUUUGGUGACGACCAAUAGGAAUCAAACGCUACUCCACUUACCCAAGAAUUAUGUCCCUCACCCCAAGCCACGACCUUCCGAUCAUCCAUACUCCAGACUUGAACCAAGUCAUCUUCACCUCCAGUCAAUAUGUACUUUCCAUCCAUACUGUUUAUAUAAUCACGUUGUCAGUGGCCAAGAGGUAAUAUUCUCACUACAAUAUGCUAUCUACUUCAUAUUCAAAAAAGAACAAUUUUUUUUGUCAAAUGAAUUAUAUUCAGUCACCUCCAAGAACAGCACAGCAGAGCACCGUAAUAACUUUUUCCACCACAUACCAGCUUCUGCGUUGAGAAGUCAAAAAUGCGAAGAUAACCUGUAAAAUGGUAAGAAAAACUUUACGAUCAACUAAGAAACACAUAGAGAAAGAAUAAGAACGAAUGGAGAAGUCUUACCAUCUCUUCCAACAGUCGCCAAGUGUGACCCAUCAUUUGAGAAUGCAAUGCUGUUGAUUGAACCUUGGCAGAUAUGCCAUCUCGCAACAGGAUUACUCUGCAUGAAUACUCACCGAAAUCAACAAAGGUACAUCUAUAUACACUCAAGAAUAGAAAAGAAAUAAUAAAAUUGUUAAGACAACUAGCAACUGAUGAUACUAUCAGAGAGUAGCACCUAUAUAAGGAUCUAGGGGUAUGGAUGGAUGCGAACUCAAAUACCUUGCUAUUUUUUGCUUUGUCAACUGAAAAUUGUGUAGGAUCUCUUAAAGCGGGAAAUGUUGAAUCAGUGGCACUAUCUUUGUUCUAUAAGUUCAAAUUAAUCAGGAUCAAGUUAGAUUAGAUCAGGCAAAUAAAAUAAUACGUAAGAAAAAAUAGUUUUUUGAUCUAUGAGCUUGCCUUCUCAUACACGUACAAAUUGCCAUCGGCAUGAGCAACGACAAAUGAUCCAUCACCUCCAGGCACCCAAGCUAAACUAGUACAACGGCUGUGACACAGCAACAAAAUUAAAUUUAAAUCUUAGAGAGAAAAUGACACCAAAACAAAAUUAAGUUCCAGAGAUAAAAAGGACUUUUGGCCAGAUUCAUGAUAUAAACUCAAGCUACUUAAACUGUUAUCCCCAGAGACUGCAUCCUGUUCUGUAGUAUUUAGACUAAUCUACUGUCAAGAGUUUCCAAGAGCAUGCAUCCAUAACAAUGACACAAAAUCUAUUAUAUAAAACGUGUUUCACUGUGGACUUAUGUUUCAUCUUAAUCACCUAAAAACAGUUCUCCUCUGAGACUACAUCUUGUCUGUACUCUGUACUAAUUUGACUAAGCUUGCCGCAAUGACAAAACAUUAGAAGAAGUACACGCAAAAAGAGGUGGCUGUUAAAAGAAUGAACUACAAGUAAAAAGAAAAACUCUUGCCUGUUAUUCACAGAGCCGUCCUUGUUAUAAUGCAGUGCUCCAACUAGCUUCUUAGAGAUAUCUUGUAACUGCUGUCUCAGGGAUACAGUGUACACUACGAUAACACAACAUUACAAGAAACCCAUCAGACAAGGCAUCUUGAUCAUAGGUUUAAAAAAUUCAGCUCAAAAAUUUCUACAUUACCAUCCCCAGAAUUGAGCCCAAUAAGUAAAUCAUGUCCAUCCUUAGCAUCCGGAUCAAAAGCAUGGCACAUAGGGUUUGAAUUGCUGAAAUGAAUAGACUUUACUGGAUCCUACAUCACCAAAAAGAAUCCAUAUCAAUUACAAGUUACAACCAAGUCUUGAAAAAAAGAAAAAAGAAAUGAUCAGCAGUAAUUUUACCUUGUCUUGUGAGUUCAAGUCACAGAUAAAAAUAGCAUCACCCACAUUGAAGACCAAGUAAGUUCCUUUCCCAUCGAAGUUUGUAUUCGUCAUCGAAGUGCCAGAACUAGAAGCAGCAAAGGAGCCACUAAUCCUUGAACUAGUACUCACAGUUUUGCCCCCUCCAUUACCUCCAACAAAACCAAGCGCACGGUUCCCAUUUCCAGUGCCUAGCAAUCUCGCUGUAGCUGAACGGAACCCGCUACUAGUAGUGUAACCCGACAAAGUACCGGUCGGAGUGGAAGGAGCAGCUCUUUCCUUAAGCUGAGCUAGAGUUACCUGACAACGCAAAAUGGAUCUCUCAUUGCAAUGCUAGUGAAACCCAUUGAUCAAGUUACAACCUUUAAGCAUUGCAACCUUAAGCAUAAUCUAAAGGAAACCCUCAUUUGCUAAAAUCUAAAGGAAAGCAAUACUAGUGAAACCCAUUAAGAAAGUUAAAACCUUUAAGCAUAAUCUUAAGGAGCCAAGCAAAAGGAAACUCUCGUUUGCUAUAAGCUAAAGGAAAGCAAUGCUAGUGAAACCCAUUGAUCAAGUUACAACUUUUAAAGCAUUGCAAUUCAAAUCUCACUAUCAAACCGAUUGAUUCUCUCAAAUUUGCAAUUGGGCAAGUCAGGAAUCAAAAACCCAAAUCGCAUUCCAAUCGAAGUAUAAAAAACCAAAUCUUUUCACCUGAGUAACGGUUUUGCCAUGAGCGUAGUGAAGGAGGCUGGAAGAAUGAGUCUUCUCGUAGUGGAGCUUGUACUUGCCUUCAGGCGUCUUGAAAUAAGUCUUAAUCCCCGGCGACUGAGGAUUCGCGGCAGGUGAAGAGGAGGAAGGUGGCGCUGAUACCAUUCCGUUAGAAGUGUUCAUCAUCUUUCUACUUCUUCUUAUUCUCUAAUCGUCUAU
RNAcentral lists this long non-coding RNA (8103 nucleotides) under Brassica napus (rape). Its description in RNAcentral is "long non-coding RNA (BNAP_LNC003403)". Lineage: Eukaryota; Viridiplantae; Streptophyta; Magnoliopsida; Brassicales; Brassicaceae. The record is from RNAcentral.